Molecule: ribosomal RNA, 393 nt
Filed under: uncultured bacterium
Lineage: Bacteria
Description: bacterial SSU rRNA
Rfam family: Bacterial small subunit ribosomal RNA
Source: RNAcentral
ACGGGGGGAACGCGAAGAACCUUACCUACUCUUGACAUCCAGAGAAUUCGCUAGAGAUAGCUUAGUGCCUUCGGGAACUCUGAGACAGGUGCUGCAUGGCUGUCGUCAGCUCGUGUUGUGAAAUGUUGGGUUAAGUCCCGCAACGAGCGCAACCCUUAUCCUUUGUUGCCAGCACGUAAUGGUGGGAACUCAAAGGAGACUGCCGGUGAUAAACCGGAGGAAGGUGGGGAUGACGUCAAGUCAUCAUGGCCCUUACGAGUAGGGCUACACACGUGCUACAAUGGCGUAUACAAAGAGAAGCGAACUCGCGAGAGCAAGCGGACCUCAUAAAGUACGUCGUAGUCCGGAUCGGAGUCUGCAACUCGACUCCGUGAAGUCGGAAUCGCUAGUAAU